RNAcentral lists this ribosomal RNA (492 nucleotides) under uncultured bacterium. RNAcentral describes it as "partial 16S ribosomal RNA". It matches the Rfam family "Bacterial small subunit ribosomal RNA", at positions 29 to 507 of the family's 1533-position model. The record is from RNAcentral.
AGUGAACGCUGGCGGUAGGCCUAACACAUGCAAGUCGAACGGCAGCACAGUAAGAGCUUGCUCUUACGGGUGGCGAGUGGCGGACGGGUGAGGAAUACAUCGGAAUCUACUUUUUCGUGGGGGACAACGUAGGGAAACUUACGCUAAUACCGCAUACGACCUACGGGUGAAAGUAGGGGAUCUUCGGACCUUGCGCGAUUGAAUGAGCCGAUGUCGGAUUAGCUAGUUGGCGGGGUAAAGGCCCACCAAGGCGACGAUCCGUAGCUGGUCUGAGAGGAUGAUCAGCCACACUGGAACUGAGACACGGUCCAGACUCCUACGGGAGGCAGCAGUGGGGAAUAUUGGACAAUGGGCGCAAGCCUGAUCCAGCCAUACCGCGUGGGUGAAGAAGGCCUUCGGGUUGUAAAGCCCUUUUGUUGGGAAAGAAAAGCAGCAGGUUAAUACCCCGCUGUUCUGACGGUACCCAAAGAAUAAGCACCGGCUAACUUCGUG